GGGGACGUCAAGGUUUCGACAGGGAGUUGUCUGGUGCAAACUGCAACCGUGUGAUACACGUUAAUCAUCAACUUAAAUUAACUGUAAAAAAUAUAUUUGCAAACUUAUUUGGUGCAAACCAAACAGUUGCAUACGCUGCUUAAUUAACCUAAAUACUGGUUCGCAGCCAUGCCCUAAGUGUGUAGCUUUCCAUGCUUAGUAAGCGUGUUAGAUCUGAAAGAUAAGGAAGGAUAGUCCUAGCUAUCCUUCACGAAAACUUUAUAGGAACAUCAGUAAUCCCAGUUGUCUGGUUCUGGCUACUGAUUAUAAAAUCAGACUAAGUUGUAGAGGUUUGUACGUGGGAUGCUUUUUGGACGCGGGUUCGAUUCCCGCCGUCUCCACCA
Molecule: transfer-messenger RNA, 383 nt
Filed under: Erysipelotrichaceae bacterium
Lineage: Bacteria; Bacillati; Bacillota; Erysipelotrichia; Erysipelotrichales; Erysipelotrichaceae
Rfam family: transfer-messenger RNA
About the family: Bacterial tmRNA, also known as 10Sa RNA or SsrA, is named for its dual tRNA and mRNA-like properties. Its role is to liberate the mRNA from a stalled ribosome.
Source: RNAcentral